ACAGUGUUAUAGGACACUCAACUGAUUAUGCCACCCAGGCACCCCACAAGUUCUUCAUAUUAGCUGGAGAAGAUUACAGGGAAGAGGCGUGCUAUGUUCCAAUGUGGAAUGAAGUUUGCUGGGGUCUCUCCGAAGGACCUGAAUUUAUAUUUGGAACUGAUAAAGAUCCUGAGCAGUGGGAAAUGUCCACAAAGUAGUUGCCAGGUAAUAUGUCAGUUUUGCAUUUUCUUUUAUUUUUGUGUGAUCAUAUUCACCAGGUUAUAA
RNAcentral lists this long non-coding RNA (264 nucleotides) under Canis lupus dingo (dingo). RNAcentral describes it as "lncRNA (ENSCAFG00020018786.1)". Lineage: Eukaryota; Metazoa; Chordata; Mammalia; Carnivora; Canidae. The record is from RNAcentral.